NNNNNNNNNAGGAUUCUCCUAGUAACCGUGAGUGAAGCGGGAAGAGUCAMAUUUAAAAUCUGGCGGCCUUCGGUCGUCCGAGUUGUAUCCUACAGAAGCGUCUUCCGCGGCGGACCAUGUACAAGUYYCCUGGAACAGGGCGUCAUACAGGGUGAGAAUCCCGUCUUUGACACGGAUCCAAGCUUUGGGAUGCGCUCUCAAAGAGUCGAGUUGUUUGGGAAUGCAGCUCAAAAUGGGUGGUGAAUUCCAUCUAAAGCUAAAUAUUGGCGAGAGACCGAUAGCGAACAAGUACCGUGAGGGAAAGAUGAAAAGCACUUUGGAAAGAGAGUAAAACAGUACGUGAAUUGUUGAAAGGGAAACGCUUGAAGUCAGUCGCGUCGGCCGGGACUCAGCCUGGCAUCCGCUUGGUGUACUUUCCGGUGGACGGGCCAGCAUCAGUUUUGACCGCGAGAUAAAGGCGGAGGGAAUGUGGCUCUCUCGGGAGUGUUAUAGCCCUUUGUCAGAUGUCGCGGUUGGGACUGAGGAACUCAGCACGCCUUUAUGGCCGGGGUUUGCCCACGUACGUGCUUAGGAUGCUGGCGUAAUGGCUUUAAACGACCCGUCUUGAAACACGGACCAAGGAGUCUAACAUGCCUGCGAGUGUUUGGGUGGAAAACCCGUGCGCGCAAUGAAAGUGAAAGUUGGGAUCCCUGUCGUGGGGWGCACCGACGCCCGGCCCAGACCUUUUGUGACGGAGCUGCGGUAGAGCAUGUAUGUUGGGACCCGAAAGAUGGUGAACUAUGCCUGAAUAGGGUGAAGCCAGAGGAAACUCUGGUGGAGGCUCGUAGCGAUUCUGACGUGCAAAUCGAUCGUCAAAUUUGGGUAUAGGCGCGAAAGACUAAUCGAACCAUGCAGUAGCUGGUUCCUGN
This 908-nucleotide ribosomal RNA is filed under the name Stereum hirsutum. RNAcentral's name for it is "eukaryotic LSU rRNA". It matches the Rfam family "Eukaryotic large subunit ribosomal RNA", at positions 56 to 961 of the family's 3401-position model. Lineage: Eukaryota; Fungi; Basidiomycota; Agaricomycetes; Russulales; Stereaceae. The record is from RNAcentral.